This 2298-nucleotide small RNA is filed under the name Pan troglodytes (chimpanzee). RNAcentral describes it as "processed transcript". The record is from RNAcentral. Lineage: Eukaryota; Metazoa; Chordata; Mammalia; Primates; Hominidae.
CAGACAGCCCAUUUUUUCUUAUGAUAAAGACGGCAUUUGGCUCAUGAGCAAGGUGGCAAAAUCAUCAAGUGAGUCAGACGUGCAGCUCUGGGAAACAGAAGAGGAUGACAUGACAGAAGGGAGAAGAAAGAAAUGAAGCGAGUUUUCAGUAUUCCAAGCAUAAGAGCCAGCAAGAGACAUUCCCUCAAGUGUCCAGAAUUUCUAAUUACAGACGACAAAGUAGCACUGUUUUGAAUCAACGGUAUUUGGAGGCCCUCGCCAUGCUUGAUAUCAAACAGCAGAAGAUGGCUCAGGAAAACAUGUGCUGUGAUAAAAGUGGCUUUGCAGAGGCUUCAGGUCUUGAGCUUGCGGUCCUCGGAGCCUGCCUUUGUCAUGGGCCCGGAGGGAACCCCUGUUCUUGUGCCAGAAUGGCAGCAUCCACUCGGAAACUGCUUCUUCAGCUCAAACAAGAGGAUUUCCAUCACCAAGGAGUAAGAAGACCUUCGGGCAGAGACUGUUGGGUAUGCUCCCUUCAGAAAACAUUUCUAAGAGGAUGGAAGACCAGGACAGUCCUCAAGAGGUCCUUAAGAUGCUCAUAGAUUUGCUUAAUGAUAAAGAAGAAGCUUUGGCUCAUCAAAGAAAAGUUAGCUACAUGCUUGCUCGGGCAUUGGAAGACAAAGACACUGCUUCAAAAGAGAAUAAAGAAAAAAAUCCUAUAAAAGAGAAUUUCCCUUUCAACAACCCCUGGCGUAAGACUUCAGAAUUCUCUGUUUUGGGUGAUCCUAUACAUUCAAGUGUCUGCAUUUUAAAUUCUGUGGGCUGCAUUUGUUCAAUCCAGCACUCUCAAAUAGAUCCAAACUAUAGAACUCUUAAAAGAACCCAUUCUUUGCCAUCAAGUAUCAUAUUUUAAAGACAAGCCAGUUGAAAUUGGAACUGAGAGUUGUUUAUAUCGAGAUACUUUGAAAAAUGAUUUUGUAAAUUUUGCUGCAUCUUGAGAAGUUGUAUGUUUCCUAGGUAUUUCUAAAUUUUAGGAGGUCGCUUAAAUCAAAUAUUUUCUACAUUUUCUUUUUCUUCUUUUGAGAUGGAGUCUCGCUCUGUCACCCAGGUUGGAGUGCAGUGGUGUGAUCUCGGUUCACUGCAACCUCCGCCUCCCGGUUCAAGCAAUUCUCCUGCCUCAGCCUCCCGAGUAACUCGGCUUACAGGCAUGUGCCACCACGCCCAGCUAAUUUUUGUAUUUUUAGUAGAGACGGGGUUUUACCAUGUUAGCCAGGCUGAUCUUGAACUCCUGACCUCAAGUGAUCCGCCUGCCUUGGCCUCCGAAAGUGCUGGGAUUACAGGUGUGAGCCACCACACCCAGCCUAUUUUCUACAUUUUCUACAAGAAAUUAGUAUUCUGUGUUGACAUUUUAUUUAUAAAUUACAUUACUGUAUUUAUAAAUUACAUUACAGGCUGGGCAUGGUGGCUCAUGCUUAUAAUCCCAGCACUUUGGGAGGCCAAGGUGGGUGGGUCACCUGAGGCUGGAGUUCAAGACCAGUCUGACCAACAUGGAGAAACCCCGUCUCUACCAAAAAUACAAAAAAUUAGCUAGGCGUAGUGGCGCAUGCCUGUAAUCCCAGCUACUUGGGAGGCUGAGGUAGGAGAAUCGCUUGAACCUGGGAGGCGGGGGUUGUGGUGAGCCGAGACUGUGUCAUUGCACUCCAGCCUGGGCGACAAGAGCGAAACUCUGUCUCAAAAAAACAAAACAAAACAAAACAAAACAAACAAACAAAAAAAAACACAUUACAGUGUUUGCCAACAUCCUAAAACAAAAAAUAAUGAUUUUUGGGAAAAACAAAAAAUUAUUUAACUAUUUUGAUUGACUAUAGGGAUCUUAGCUUGGCUAAAUCAACAAUAUAGCAAUGUAUCUUAAUGCUCUAAAAAGUAACAAUACCUAGGACUGACUGAAUAUUAAUUUCUGGAAUUCAUUUAUCUUAUUUGCCUUGUUCAGUAUUUUUCAUUUACCAUAUGAAGUUUAGAAAUAACAAUUUCCUUAAGUUAACUUCGAUAAGACAGUUUUGAUGGUGGGACCUUGGCAGAAGUAUAUUGAGUCAUUGCCGGCUACGUUCAUGGCUUCUUGUCAGGGUAGUAACAUUUUGCAACCAAAUCUGCACAGAUUUGUAGCCAAGUCUACAAAGUGCUUAACAGCUGUUUUCAUUGCAUCCUGUGAGAUGGUUGUGAUGAUCCCAGGAAAUGGGGUCUCAGGAAUCUGAAGAAGCUGCCUGAGCCAAGGUGAUUUCUAGGAGUUUUUUUGUUUGUGGUAUGUGAAUUGGGGUGUGUGGG